UUUUAGAAAAAUGGAGGACAGUCCUUGAGCACCCUGAGUAGGUAAGAUCCUGGGGUGUCAGGGAGUGAAAAGUGAGCAGGGAGAGAGGUGUGUCUGUCUGGGCACCGAGAAGGUAAGAGGAUGCGAGUCGGGGGCUGGUUCACUUGGCAAGUAAGAGGCUGUAGAGAGGUUGCUGGCUGGAGUGGGCCGUGGAAUUGACCAGUUGAAUAAAUCUUGACAUCGGACUGGGGUGUUCUCCACAGGCCUGUGGGGGGCAGGGGUGCAAGCAGGUGAGCUGGCAGCGUCUUGGACACACAGAGCUGGGUGUGAGUGACUCACCUGGAGCACAAGGCCUGCAUCAUUUCCCCAGGAAGGUAGCCCAUAGAACACAGCAGUGUCAGACGAGGGGAGAGUGAUUUGGGGCAGCGAUUCCUAAACUCAAAAAGUUCAGAGGUUCGGAGUUGAAUACUCAAGAGGGAUUUUUUUUUUGUAAUUCUAGGGCCGCAUCCACAGCACAUGGAAGUUUCCAGGCGAGGAGUCGAAUCAGAGCUGUAGCCGCUGGCCUACACCACAGCCACAGCAAUGCGGGAUCGGAGCCACGCCUGCGACCUACACCACGGCUCAUGGCAACGCCUGAUCCUUAACCCACUGAGCAAGGCCAGGGAUUGAACUCACAAUCUCAUGGAUACUAGUGAUGUUCGUUACUGCUGAGCCACGAUGGGAACUCCAGCGAGGCAUUUUUAAUUUCAUAUAGAAAUUAACUUUGCCACCACGAUAGAACAUGAGACAAAGUCUAUGAAUCCCUUCAGUGGUGGUUUGAAGUGCCAGCUAGGAAGGUCUUCUUUGUGCCUGGUUAUCCACAGUAAGAAGCUCUCUGGGCAUUUGUUGCGGUUUUGCUUGGGGUGGGCAAGGUCAUGAUGAGAUGGGAGAUGCGGUCAGAGGCACCUUCCACGGGACAUUCAGAGAUCGGAGCAGCUAGGGGAGGUCAAGGCAAGCUGGCGUCAUUGUUCAUUCAGUUGACAAAGAUUUCCUGAGCAGCAGCUGUGUGCCAGGCACCAGGGGUGGGGGGCACCGAGAAGACGACGGUGGUAUCUCUGUCAGGGUGAACUUGAUUAAAUGCACAGAAAAGCAGUCCAAUAAAACUCAGACUACAUGAGACGAGGGGAAAGGUGCUUCAUGAUGGAAGGGGGCCUUCCCUUCAGGUGGUUCUCCGAGCAGGUGAUUUCCAAGCUGAGAGCUAUAGGAUGGAAGGAAUGUGUCAGCCGAGGGCUUAGGGGGAAGGUCCCAGGCACAGAGCACAGGUCCCCUAAAAGGCCCUGGAGUGGGGAAUGAGUCUGGCCUUUGAGGAUCGAGAAGGCAGAUGCGCCCCAGGUGAGGAGGGGGCAAGCAGGUUUCGCCCCUCAGAAGCCUUCAGCUUGGUCCGAUCUUGCUCUGGCAGGCGUCCAUCCCAGAGGUCCCAGGGAAGCGCCCCACAACCCCCAAAGUGUCUCCAGCCCAGGCACCCAGGCUCUUAGGAGAGGCUUUGUCCCCAGGAGGCUGCCUGCCACGUUGGUCUUCUGUGACUAUCACUUGUUGAGGGGACUAAAAGGGGAUAUACAGCAAAAGCAGAUUUCAGUGGAACUAGUAGUUAAAUCAGGUGCUAAAAAGUGUUGAGAAUGUGCCCAAGGGACUAUGAAAUGACUGUAAAUGGAACUGGCUUUAUUUUGUUUGGGUUUUUUUUUUUUUUUUUGCUUUUUUUUAGGGCCAAACCUGAGGCAUAUGGAAGUUCCCAGACUAGGGGUCAAAUCAGAGUUGUAGCUCACACCACACCGCAGCUCACAGCAACUCCGGAUCCUUAACCCACUGAGCGAGACCAGGGAUCACACCCACAUCCUCAUGGAUCCAGGUUGGGUUCAUUACCACUGAGCCACCAUGAGAACUCACUAAAUGGAAGUGGUUUUAAAACGAGUGAUCUGCCUGCCCUCCUGUGGGUACAGCAAGGCAGCAGCCAUAAAACGAAAACCCUGGUCAGUUCCCAGAGUGAAACCUGCAGUCUUAGCCACCUAAGUCCUGGGGCAGGUGGUCCCCUGAGCAAGAUGCUGUUUCCCUAGGGGUGGGGGUGGGGGGCUUUUUCUGACGUUAAAGCUCCUCUAGUCUGGGACUCCCAGGUGGGCAGCCUGGUGGCCUCCUGCUCGGCCAGCCCCUCUCCUGAGCCCUGUGGGGGGAAGCCCCCUCCUCCCCGCCGAGGGGCUGCCCCCACCAGGGUCACCUUCUCUGCCUGCUCUUUGAAUCACCUCUCCCCCAUUUUUGAAGUGAUCUUUGAACUUGGGGGCUUGGGGCAGGAGGAAGAGAGCACCAGAAGUGUUGUGUAAACACUGGUUCUGAUCCUUCUCAACUUUUACUACCUGUAAGGACAGGUGGACGUGGAGAAGCUGCUGGCAGGAAGGGCCAAUUGUUCUCAAGGUUAUGGGUUAUGCAAUCGAGCAGAAGAGCUUUGAAGCUGCAGGAGGAGGUCAGAGCAGCUUGUCCACAAAGCAUAUGACGCAGAAGUUUCCCUUUAGAAGAACUUACUUGCUUGACUCUCGUUAGGAAUUCCUGUGCCAGCAUUUAGCUGGAUCUCUGGGGUGAGUCGUUAUCUCCGGUCUGCAGUUAAAGUAAGGAAUUUCUUUUAAAGGACCCUACUUCCGGAGUUUUCCUGAGAUGCCAGGCUGAAGCGGGUACCUUCAGCACCUAUUUUUGUAUAGAAUGUCGUUUCAUCCGAGUCUGUAACCUUGUGCUCGUGUCCGUGGGAAAGAAAAAAAUAGUGAGACCCUUCUUUAUCCAGUUACGAGGCGGAGGUAGACGGUGAUGUCAUAGGUUGUGUGGACCCGGCUGUGCUGAGCUUGCGUCUGGGACAGUGACCAGACAGACCAGAGGAGAAGUGGAAGGUAUUUUUAGCCCCUGGGGGCUGCUCUGGACGCCGCUUCUCCGGGCGCCCCAGUACCUCCCGCGGGGAGAUGCGGCGCAGGCGCACUGGCUCUCAUGCCUUCCGCCUCUGAAUCAUACCGUAGAAUAUUCGGGAGCCCUGGUGGGCUGCCGACUUGAUGGCGCAGCUUUGAGAGCCACACACUUCAGCCCAAAUCUGAGACGUUGCUGGAGGGCCUCUCAGCGGGCCCUGGGUCCCUCGCAGGGACCGGACCAGUCCUCUUCUUCCGAAGUGUGGUUUUCUCUGGAAAUCCGGGCCUGGGUACGCAGUUCACUCCUUUUUUUUUUUUUUUUUCCUGCGUUGAGCUGCUCCAGGCAUGCGUGGAAGUUCUGCUGCUGAGAACAGCAUGACCUCUGCAAGUAGGUUCUUAAAAUCUUUGGAGAGCCGGUUUGAACCGCGAGCAGUAAGUCAGCUGAAAACUUCUGUCAGGUUAUGUACAUCAAGUGCAGCUUUAGAAAAGUGAUAAAAGGAAGGGAUCCUGUCUGGGGUACGCAGGCUGUCCCUAGAAUCACUUUUGCAGGCUGAAGGGCUUCUGGAUGUGAUGUGGAGGGUGUAGGUCAGUUUCCGAAUAAGUCGGCUUCUGCUUGGCUGGUCAGGGUUUUGACUGCGGGCCAGUCCGUCUCUCUGGCCGUGGGAGUGAGCGGUGCCAGUAGGAGUGUGGAAGACACCACGUGCUGUGUGGAAGAAGCUCUGGAUGAGAUUAGGAGGCCGGAUCCUUGUCUCUCUCCUCCAGCUGCCUCCCCCGACCCCAGUAUGUCCCAGCCUCGAGCUCGAGUGACCCUGGCGGGUUCCUGGGCCUCUCUCUACCCCCGUUGAUAAGUUGAGGCCGUGUAUGGCCUACAGGCCCCGAGUCAGGCUGCCUGGGUCUGCAUCCAGGCUCUGCCCCUUGCUGGCUCUGUGACUCAGGGCACAUGAGCAUUUCUCAGUGUCUUGGUGCCUGUUUCCCCAUCACUAAUGGGAAUAGUACCCACUUCACAGGCUGCUGUGAGGCCCAAUUGGGUUAAAGUGUGUGGCCUGCCUGCAAGGCGGUUGGCCUUUCUUGGGAUGGCUCACAAAUGCCUCUUCCAGUGAGGGAGUCUGUUACUUUCUUCUACCUCUUCAGGCAAAUGGACCACCCGAGAGGUCCCUAGAGGAGGCAAAGCAGGUGAUGACCAGGGAAGCCAGAGGGGCCCUGGGGUGGGUCUCGGUGCCCGCCCUGUGCUCUGCCUCCCUCCCUGGUCUCCCCAAGAAAAGCUCAGCCCGGCAGAGCACAGGCCCCAGCAGCUCCCGCUGUUAACUGUGCAGGGAAGACAGAUCCUCAGGUGAGCAGCGUCGCUGCCCUGGGGUGCUGCCCCCAGGCCCACGGAUGCCCAGGCAGCCUGUGCCAGUUUUCUCAGUUUUCAAGUGUCGUGGUCAGACUGGGUCAUGGGGGCCAAGCUCUUUACUAGCUGGUUCCCCUGAUGAAAACUCUUUCAUUGAAACGCUUCAUUCCCGAUCUACAUUGUUUCCAAUCCCCAUGCUCUUCUCUGAGGGCUCAGCUGGCUGCCCUUCAGAGAGCCCAGUGAGAGACAAGUGUAGUAGUUUCAUGCAGCUUCCCACCUCCCUCUCCAACCGCCUGGUACUCCGUGGUUUCUGCAGAGGUUCUCAGUAGGAGAAAAGUUAUGUUUAUGGGGCACAUUCAGAGAGCUUGUGCCUCCAUUCCAGAAUUUGUUUGGAGGCUCUGCCCCACGUGGUGGAGAAUCUUGUUAAGUUCGGGUGGUUCCCUACAGUUUCCACUAGAAAUUACGUCUUUAAAGACUGCUCUGGGCAGGAGAGUCUGGAACUCCCUGCUAGAGACCUUGGGGACUGGCAAGGGACAUCUACGAAUCCGAAGAGGGGCUAAGUUAGGUGAGCAAUCUGAGAACAGAGGCCAGGCUUUAUUGCCUUGUAAAUCACAAACCUGAAGUUUUGUCAGAUCUUUGGGUAAGGGGAGAGCCACCCUGAAUAGAUAACCCUGUCCUAAAUUGCCUUUGCAAGGACCUAAAAUAUGAGACUAUUGAAUGUUCUUCAUUAUACGUAAUUGUUAGUCCAGGAGUUCCCAUUGUGGCUCAGUGGUAAUGAAACCCACUAGUAUCCAUGAGGACGAGGGUUCCAUCUCAGGCCUCACUCAGUGGGUUAAGGGUCCAGUGUUGCUUUGAGCUGUGGUGUAGACCAGCAGCUGUGGCUCUGAUUCAAUCCCUAGGCUGAGAACUUCCUCAGAACUUGAGAACUGUGCCACAGGUGCAG
Molecule: long non-coding RNA, 5167 nt
Filed under: Sus scrofa (pig)
Lineage: Eukaryota; Metazoa; Chordata; Mammalia; Artiodactyla; Suidae
Description: lncRNA (ENSSSCG00035067748.1)
Source: RNAcentral